CCUACGGGAGGCAGCAGUAGGGAAUCUUUCACAAUGGGCGAACGCCUGCUGGAGCAACGCCGCGUGCAGGAUGAAGGCCUUCGGGUUGUCAACUGCUUUUAUAAGCGAGCAAUAUGAUGGUAACUUAUGAAUAAGGAUCGGCUAACUACGUGCCAGCAGCCGCGGUCAUACGUAGGAUCCGAGCAUUAUCGGGAGUGACUGGGUGUAAAGAGUUGCGUAGGUGGCAUAAUACGUAGCUAGUGAAAUCUGGUGGCUCAACCAUUCAGACUAUUAGCGAAACUGUUAAGCUCGAGACCGUUAGGGGUAACUGGAAUUUCUAGUGUAGGAGGGAAAUCCGUAGAUAUUAGAAAGAACACCGAGAGCGUAGGCAGGUUACUGGGACGGUGCUGACACUAAGGCACGAAAGCGUAGGGAGCAAACGGGAUUAGAUACCCCGGGUAGUC
This 443-nucleotide ribosomal RNA is filed under the name uncultured bacterium. RNAcentral describes it as "partial 16S ribosomal RNA". It matches the Rfam family "Bacterial small subunit ribosomal RNA", at positions 338 to 795 of the family's 1533-position model. The record is from RNAcentral.